RNAcentral lists this non-coding RNA (183 nucleotides) under Halobacillus karajensis. The record is from RNAcentral. Lineage: Bacteria; Bacillati; Bacillota; Bacilli; Caryophanales; Bacillaceae.
UCAUAUGAAGAGGAUUCAGGUGUCUUGGGUAAGACUUAAAAGGGAAUCUGGUGAGAAACCAGAACUGUCCUCGCAACUGUGAGUGUUGAUGAAAAGGAAUUUCCACUGUGCUAUGUGGCAUGGGAAGGAUCCUGAGUAGAAGGAUACACGAGUCAGUAGACCUGCCUGAUCCAAUGUUUCAAA